UACGUAGGUGACAAGCGUUGUCCGGAUUUACUGGGCGUAAAGAGCGCGCAGGCGGUCGUCCAAGUCGCGUGUGAAAGCCCCCGGCUCAACUGGGGAGGGUCACGCGAUACUGAUCGACUCGAAGGCAGGAGAGGGUAGUGGAAUUCCCGGUGUAGUGGUGAAAUGCGUAGAUAUCGGGAGGAACACCAGUGGCGAAGGCGACUACCUGGCCUGUUUCUUGACGCUGAGGCGCGAAAGCUAGGGGAGCAAACGGG
Molecule: ribosomal RNA, 254 nt
Filed under: uncultured bacterium
Lineage: Bacteria
Description: partial 16S ribosomal RNA
Rfam family: Bacterial small subunit ribosomal RNA
Source: RNAcentral